GUGUCAGCAGCCGCGGUAAAACGUAGGGGGCGAGCGUUGUCCGGAAUUACUGGGCGUAAAGGGCGCGUAGGCGGUUAUUUAAGUCAGAGGUGAAAACUACCGGCUCAACCGGUAGCCUGCCUUUGAAACUGGAUGACUUGAGGGCAGGAGAGGGGAGUGGAAUUCCCAGUGUAGCGGUGAAAUGCGUAGAUAUUGGGAGGAACACCAGUGGCGAAGGCGGCUCUCUGGCCUGUUUCUGACGCUGAGGCGCGAAAGCGUGGGGAGCAAACGGGAUUAGAAACCCCUGUAGUCC
This 292-nucleotide ribosomal RNA is filed under the name uncultured bacterium. Its description in RNAcentral is "partial 16S ribosomal RNA". It matches the Rfam family "Bacterial small subunit ribosomal RNA", at positions 505 to 796 of the family's 1533-position model. The record is from RNAcentral.